This is an RNA transcript of Solanum pennellii, 6892 nucleotides long. RefSeq lists it as uncharacterized. Lineage: Eukaryota; Viridiplantae; Streptophyta; Magnoliopsida; Solanales; Solanaceae. The record is from RefSeq and is a predicted model, not a curated record. The transcript has 22 exons.
AGUUGGUUCUGAGCUCUAUUUCUGAUAUUUCUUUUCUGGAAUUGUUACCAAAUUUCAUGGGAGGCCUAAUAGAUAUUGUAAGGUUUUAAAGGUAAAAUUCUUUUGAGUUAUAGUAAGUAGUUGACACUAGGAUAGGUAUAGAACUACUAACCUGGUCCUUGAAGUCUUAUCUGGCAAUUGUUAACCGGAUGGCAAGUGUUUUGUACCUUGGAAUUGAUGAUUAUAGACAAGAUGUUGGUAUAGCAGGUGAUUUUGUAUAAGCCUACUUGAUAAUUGAGUUAACUGCUGCCUGCUAAUAAAGGAAAUUUCUAGGGUUUCUCUUUUUGCAGUAAUUGUUCGUGAUGUAUUUUACAACUUAGAAGUUCAAAGGAAGCAAAUGCAUUCCAAGUUCUUCUAGUUUUCUCAAAAUCAAACAAGUAAAAGAUAUUGCUUUACAUACUUUACUUCUAAACUGUAUUCUGAUCUGAUUGAUCUUUUGGUCUGCAUAUAUAAUCUUGAAGUCCAAGUAGGGUCUUGCAUUCUCCGAAAGAGUCUCUGCUAAGAAUCUCCCUUACGCAUCGCAGUGUCUCCUUCAAAAUUGUUGAUAUUGAAAGUGAGGAUGACCUGCUUUGCACAUGUGCUUCUCCUUUGGCUUGCCGCUGUUGUCUAGUCUUGGUGUUUACGCAGUGAACCUAUGCAGCCCCAAAUUGAUGGAUAAAGAGAUGUGAUAAGUCGUCUUUUCUACACUUUGUUUAUUGACUUUUUGAUUUCUGACCAAGUAUUUUUUAAAAUGAUAUGGUUCUUUGCCUUUUCUCUCUGGUUUCUUGAAAUUCUUAAUAGAUUGCUUUUGCAUACAUUGGGCAUGCUUGUUGAUAAGUUUGUGAAGCCAUUCUGGAGAAUUUUUUCCAUUGAUAUUACCAACGGGCUUAAUUAUAUCUUUUCUCAGAUUUGGCAAUCGGAGCUUUGCAGAUGAGAGGCACCGUCAUAUAUAUGAGGUGGAUCCUGAUAUGGUGCAGCAAUUUGAAAAGAUGCUGGCCUUUCUUUCACUGGCAAAGAUAAAAGUGAUAGUCACAUGGAGGUAUCUGUUGCUAUAGACAUUGGGACCUGAAUUGUUAAGGUGGAUGACAAUGGAUCUGGUGUCUCACGAGAUGGAUAGAUGCUGAGGAGAGAAUGAUAUGAGAAUCUUGAAAUUAGUUGCUACCACAAGCUAUGCUCCUCUAGUGUGGAUGGGGACUCGCAUAAAUGGAUUGACGCUGGAAAUCGAGGUAAAACAGAUGAGCUUGUAAGGAAGAAGAAGAGUAGAAGAAGUCAUUCAGCUCCUCCAUUUUACCAAGACAAGAAGUUCUUUGCCACAAGUGAGUCUUUCAAGAAAGGUAGCAGGAAAUAACAUCUUUUAAACUGUUCAUGAUGUGCUCAUGCCAGAAUCUAGAGUUGUAAGGAGACUGCAUCAUUCUGCAGAAGCUAUCUGCGCGGAGAUUCCACUCAGUCUUCUCAUCAAUGUGCUCAAUCUUCCACCCAUAAUGUGGUAAAGGGUGUGUUCUAUGUUGAAAGGCCAAGGGUUAUAAUGAAAUUUGUUAACAUCUGGAAUAGAAAAUUACAAACUCAAGGGGAUUGCACAAGUACAGGCGAUAGGGACUCAAAAGAAGGAUGGGAUGGGGACUCGCAUAAAUGGAUUCAUGCUGGAAAUCAAGGUAAAACAGAUGAGAUUAUAAUGAUGGAGAAGAGUAGAAGAAGUCAUUUCAGCUCCUCGGGCAAGAAAUUUUUUGCCACAAGCUAGUCUUCAAGAACAGCAGCAGCAAAUAAAAGUAUCAAGACUGUUCGUUAUGUGCCACUCAUGCCAGAAACCAGAGCUGUAAGGAGACUGCAUCAUUCUGCAGAAGCUAUCUGCUUGGAGUUUCCACAGCAGUCAUACCAUCAAUGUGGUCAAUCCUCCACCCCAAGUUGUGGUGACGGUGUAUUCUCUGAUGAAAGGUCAUGUUAUCAACGUUCUUGGAAGAGUUAGUUCUAUUUCUGAUAUUAUCUCAAUCAGAUAUUUUAGUAACUCACACGACCUGGUGUUUCUAAUGAAACUAGUUAGCAUUUGGAAUAAUAAAGUACAAGCUUGAGGGGAGUGCACAACUUCACACAAUGGGGAGUCGAAAGAAGAAUUUGAACCACAAAAGCUCGAAGUUUCUUAAUUGUGUGACAGAAUGGAGAGACUUCCGUCCAGAGAUUACAUAUGUGAUGCAGAGCAGAAUUUGAACAGAGAAUCUUAAGAACUGGACUUUUUUACCCUUUUCAGUAUGAGAUACUGUGCUCAAUGUCACUUCUGGCGUCUUGCAUUUUGUUGGUGAUUCAUUGGUUCCUGAUACCAUUGAUAAAAACUGCCAAAGUUCUUCAACAGGUUGAUAAGAAGUUUAUUUCAAUUGUGGCGGGCACCACACUUCCUAUAAUUAAUCAGGGAUACAUUCAAAAAGUGCAAGUACAUGCGAACCAUUUGCAAAUCAGUCUUUGAAAGAGAAAGUGCUAAUAUGCAAGAGGAGUUUCACGGGUACUAUUUCCAGUGCUUUUACAACCAACCAGUUUUAAGGAAACAAAUGCUCUACAGUGAGGAUGACCUGUUUGCCUACGUGCUUCUCUUUCUCUGUUGCCACUAUUGUUCAGUGGGUUAGGGAUUCAUCUGAGUUCCCUUAAAAAUUGAAUGCAAGUGAUAGUUCAUUCAAGCGCUCACGAUGUAUACACGGUGAAGGGUGGAUAGGGACUGACAUAAAUGGAUCGAUGCUGGAAAUUGAGGUAAAACGGAUGAGCUUAUAAGGAAGAAAGAGGGUAGAAGAAUUCAUUCAGUUCCUCCAUUUUACCAAGGUAAGAAUUAAGUUCUUUGCAAUGAGUGAGUCUACAAGAAAGGCAGCAGGAAAUCACAGUAUUAAGACUGUUCAUGAUGUGCCACUCAUGCCUGUUAGUAGACUGCAUCAUUCUGCAGAAGCUAUCUGCUGAGAGCUUCCACAGCAGUCAUCCCAUCAAUGUGAUCAAUCUUCAACCCCAAGUUGUGGUGACGGUUUCUUCUCUGAUGAAAGGCCAAGUGUGAAAAGGGAACUUAUUAACAUCUGGAAUAGCAAAUUGCAAGCUCAAGGGGAGUGCACAUGUACACGCGAUGGGGAGUUAAAAGAAGAAUUUGCACCAACAAAAAUUCAAAGUUCCUUAGAUUUUUGGGAUAAAAUGGAGGGACUUCCAAAGAUUACAAACAGUGCUGGAACUGAGAAUUUUAAUAAUCAGUAUAUUGUACUCAGUGUCACUUCUGGCAUCUUGCAUUUUUUUGGCGAUUCAUUGGUUCCUGAUACCAUUAAUAAAAACUUCCCGGAGGGUGCCAAAGUUCUCCAACAGGUUGACAAGAAGUUUAUUCCGAUUGUGGCAAGCACAGCACUUGAUAUAACUGAUCAGGCAAGAGCAUGUGAUACUACAGUGCCAUUGUCUUCUGCUGGUACCAACACAUUUCUAUUCAACACACAUCAAUAUGAGUUGCCAUUUCCUAUAUAAACAUAUCUAAUGAGGUAUCUACCACCACAACGCUCAGCAAACAUCAAAGCUUUCUCUGCUUUUUGGUAACCUUACAAUCCUUUUUUUUUUCACCUAUACUAAAACUAAGUGAUCAUGGCUAUUCUUCGUAUGAUCAAGAAGUCUUCUGCAACUAGAGAUAUUCCCAAGGGUCAUUUUGCUGUGUAUGUUGGGGAGAUGCAGAAAAAGAGAUUUGUGAUCCCGAUAUCAUUCUUGAGCGAACCUUUAUUUCAAGACUUGCUUAGUCAAUCUGAGGAAGAAUUUGGCUUCGACCAUCCAAUGGGUGGUGUGACUAUUCCCUGCUGUGAGGAUUUGUUCAUCGAUCUCACAUCUCGAUUGCGGAAAUGAGAAGGAAACCAGUCCCCAUAUUUUUUAAUUACACAAUUUUGUAUAGUUGUAGUAAGCCAGGAUAGAGACUGUACAGUUCAGAGUUACAAGAAACACUAGUUAGACUAAGGACACAUUUUUCUACUUCAAAAGAAAUUGAAGUAAUGGAACUUUUUACUUACAUGGUUUCAUUCUAUGCCAUACAUUGAUGUAUACAAUUCAUUGCAAUAGAAACUUUUUGCUCAACUCUCGUCGAUUUUUAGUCAGAAUCUAGUCUUCUAAAGUGCCACAACUCAUUCCGUUGGUAAGAAUUAUACUUUGUGGUCAAAAUGAAGUUAAAACACACAUGGUAGUGUCCAUCAUACAAUGAAAUGUAACUCAAGAUAUACUAGAUCUGCCAUUCUGCAGCAAUGUGAAAGUACUGAGUUAAACUCAGUCCAAUAGAACUGGAUGUAAAUUGAUUAAUUCUUAAUAAUAUGUACUCCAUGUUUAUACUUUUUUUUUGAGAAGGUAACGACUUGUAUUCUAUUUCCACAAAAACAGAAACCUGCCACGACAAGUUACAGGUUUCCUAAUUACAGUUGAGGAGGGGAGUAUCUAGAAGAACUUCAACCCUUUUAACAAAAAAUUACAAUAAUGCUAAGACAUCUUUAGUUGAUUCUAGAUCUUCCCUAUACUCCUGUUUAAUCACUUCAAUUUCAUCGCCAAGCAGCCCACCAAAUUCAAGCUGGUACAAUUUUCCACCUAUCCUUAUGGUCUGACAUGUUAGCAUAACUUCUCCAGAUCUUCAAAGUCUGAUCUAUUUUCCUUGGCAUUACCCAAUUCAGGCCCUUCUUACUUAGGAAUAUUUCCCACAGUUGACGGGUAAUUCUGUAGUGUAUAAAAAGGUGGGUUACAGUCUCAGCCUUCUCUUCCCAAAAAAACACCUUGGACUUAGAUGUAUCCCCCUUUUCAUGAGGUUUUCUUGGGUUAAAACAGCUUGUUUGGCCACAAGACAAGUGAAGCAGGAAACUUUAUAAGGAAUUUUGACUUUCCAUAUAAGCUUCCAAGGCCAGUCCUCAAUCUGAUAAUUAUUAGGGUUAAAUUUUUUAUAGGCCCCUUUCAUACUGAAACUACCUUGACUGUGGCCCUCCCACUCCAAUCUAUCUUGGUCAGUGGAGGUUUCUUUGAAUUGCUCCAAUUGCUGUAGAACUCAACUAACCUCAAAAUCUCCUAGUCAUUAAAAGGUCUUCUAAAGCUCAAAUUCCAUCCCUGAUUUGACCAGACUUCAUCAACAGUGGCCCUUUGUUGUUGGUUUAGGGUGUAAAUAUCAUUGAAGGUGUCCCUUAGGGGGGCUUGAUCUAACCACUUGUAUUCCUAGAAAAGUACCUUCCUGCCAUCUUCUGUUCUUAUGCUGCAAUUUUCUCUAAGCUUUGGCCACAGGUUUCUGAUGGAUCUCCAAAGGUUGAUCCCAUAAGUAUCGGUGACCAUUCUGGUGGUCCAAUGAUCUGCCAUUUCAUACUUCAGCUGGAUAACUUAUUUCCAGAGAGCUGACUCCCUAGAAGCAAAUAUCCAGAGCCAUUUCAUCAUAAGACAUUGGUUCUGAGUUUUUAAGUUCCUUACCCCCAUACCCCUUUUUGUUUACUUCCAAUCAGUGCAUCCCAUUUCACCAAGUGGAACUUCUUGGUUUCACUGAAUUUCUUCUUAGAACAUCCAAUCUCUCAAUGACCCCAUCAGGGAUAGGGAAGAGGGACAUCAUAUAGGUAGGCAUAGAGUCCAAAACACUAUUGAUUAGUGCUAGUCUUCCUCCUAAGGAGAGAUAUUGACUUUUCCAGUUUACCAACCUCUUCUUGCACUUCUUUACCACGCCAUUCCAUAUAUCUAUAGACCUGUUCUGAUCACCCAGAGGCAUGCCCAAGUAGACAGUUGGUAGCUUCCCAAUACUUCCACCAAGGACCCCAGCCAAUUAGGUUAGGUUAGGAACCUCAUUAACUGGUUAUAUGAAGCUCUUAUUCCAGUUGAAUGUAAUCGUGGGACUGCUUCAAAAAGAACAAAAAUGACCUUGAGAAUCAUGAGUUGGUCCUUAUUAGCCUCACAAAAGAUCAAUGUAUCAUCAGCGUACUGCAAAGCAAAUGAGUAAUCUCCAAGUUUGAGCCUUCCCUGUGUGCAGCUUUGAAUCCCUUCAACCAGCUAUUUUCUUGAGCAACUCUCAACAUAUCAUUAAGACUUCUCGUGGCAAUGAUGAAAGGGAGAUAAUGGGUCUCCUUGCCUUAGGCCUCUCUGUGAGUAGAAGGCUCACCUGUAGGGGAGCCAUUGAUUGAUAAGGACAGAGAAUUUGACUGUGCUUAUGCAGAACUUCAUCCAUCUUACCCAUCUACCUCCAAAUCCUAUUGAGGUGGUCAUAAGCUUUUGUAUAUCUAGCUUUCAUAGAAUGAUUGUCUUCAUUAGAAACUCUGUGCUCUGUGGUCUGCCCUGCAUCCUCCAGCUGGCCUCCAUGUCUCAGUUUCAGUAUAUAUUCUUUAAUAGAACUCCUCAAUCUCCUUCUUUAUAACAUCUGGUUUUUGGGUUGCUUCCCCAACCACCAUAAAUUCAUCAAUAUUGUUAUAUCUUCUAUGAGCAUUUGCUGAUCUGUGGAAAAACUUGGUCUUGUUGUCACCCUUGUGAGAAAUAUAUGGUGAAAAAAUAUUAUUGAAUUGUGUAUCUAAAUUUUACAUUGAGACCCUAUUUAUAUACACUACAUUAGAGUCCUUUUCUGACUAGGAAUCCUAUUCUUAUUCUUAUUCCUAUUCCUAUUCCUAUUCCUAUUUUAAGUAGGAAAUACUUAUUCUAUUCUAACACUCCCCCUCAAGCUGGUGAAUACAAAUUUGAGAGCUUAAUGCUACGAAAAAAGUACUAAUGGUUGUGUUUGGGAUAUAGAGAUGGGAAGCUAUUUAUGGAGGAAGAUCCCAACUUAUUUAUCUUUGUUUAUGAAGAAACCAAUGUACUUGUAAAAGAUAGCAAACAAGAUUAUGUACUUAGGGAGCCAACUAUUUAACCAAUGGAUUGUUCUUGCAUAUAUAACCCUCUGUUUCUAUUU